UACGGAGGGGGCUAGCGUUGUUCGGAAUUACUGGGCGUAAAGCGCACGUAGGCGGCGAUUUAAGUCAGGGGUGAAAGCCCAGUGCUCAACACUGGAACUGCCCUUGAGACUGGAUUGCUUGAAUCACGGAGAGGUGGGUGGAAUUCCGAGUGUAGAGGUGAAAUUCGUAGAUAUUCGGAAGAACACCAGUGGCGAAGGCGGCCCACUGGACGUGUAUUGACGCUGAGGUGCGAAAGCGUGGGGAGCAAACAGG
Molecule: ribosomal RNA, 253 nt
Filed under: uncultured bacterium
Lineage: Bacteria
Also listed under: 1 other name
Description: partial 16S ribosomal RNA
Rfam family: Bacterial small subunit ribosomal RNA
Source: RNAcentral